This 497-nucleotide ribosomal RNA is filed under the name uncultured bacterium. RNAcentral describes it as "partial 16S ribosomal RNA". It matches the Rfam family "Bacterial small subunit ribosomal RNA", at positions 28 to 507 of the family's 1533-position model. The record is from RNAcentral.
GAUGAACGCUGGCGGCGUGCCUAAUACAUGCAAGUCGAGCGAACAGACGAGGAGCUUGCUCCUCUGACGUUAGCGGCGGACGGGUGAGUAACACGUGGAUAACCUACCUAUAAGACUGGGAUAACUUCGGGAAACCGGAGCUAAUACCGGAUAAUAUAUUGAACCGCAUGGUUCAAUAGUGAAAGACGGUUUUGCUGUCACUUAUAGAUGGAUCCGCGCCGCAUUAGCUAGUUGGUAAGGUAACGGCUUACCAAGGCAACGAUGCGUAGCCGACCUGAGAGGGUGAUCGGCCACACUGGAACUGAGACACGGUCCACACUCCUACGGGCGGCAGCAGUAGGGAAUCUUCCGCAUUGGGCGAACGCCUGACGGAGCAACGCCGCGUGAGUAAUGAAGGUCUACGGAUCGUAAAACUCUGUUAUAAGGGAAGAACAAAUGUGUAAGUAACUAUGCACGUCUUGACCGUACCUAAUCAGAACGCCACGGCUACCUACGUG